This 518-nucleotide ribosomal RNA is filed under the name Scenopinus fenestralis. RNAcentral's name for it is "partial 16S ribosomal RNA". The stretch from base 389 to 518 matches the Rfam family "Bacterial large subunit ribosomal RNA", at positions 2473 to 2602 of the family's 2925-position model. Lineage: Eukaryota; Metazoa; Arthropoda; Insecta; Diptera; Scenopinidae. The record is from RNAcentral.
UGUCCUUUAGGUUAUUAUUUAAGGUCUAGCCUGCCCACUGAUUGUUGAUUAAAUGGCCGCAGUAUUUUAACUGUGCAAAGGUAGCAUAAUCAUUAGUCUUUUAAUUGAAGGCUUGUAUGAAUGGUUGGACGAAGUAUAGACUGUAUCUUGAAAAUUUAUAUUAGAAUUUUAUUUUUUAGUCAAAAAGCUAAAAUUUUAUUUAAAGACGAGAAGACCCUAUAGAUUUUUAUAUUUUUAUAUUAUAAGGAUAUUUGGAUUAUUUUUUCUUUAUUUUUUAAUUUAUUUUGUUGGGGUGACGUUAAAAUUUAUUAAACUUUUAUUUUUUAAAAACAUUUAUUUAUGAUUAGUUGAUCCGUUUUUAGCGAUUAUAAGUUUAAAUUACCUUAGGGAUAACAGCGUAAUUCUUUUGGAGAGUUCUUAUCGAUAAAAGAGAUUGCGACCUCGAUGUUGGAUUAAAAUAAAUAUUGGGUGCAGAAGCUCAAUUAAUUAAGUCUGUUCGACUUUUUAUUUUUUACAUG